Molecule: ribosomal RNA, 458 nt
Filed under: uncultured bacterium
Lineage: Bacteria
Description: bacterial SSU rRNA
Rfam family: Bacterial small subunit ribosomal RNA
Source: RNAcentral
GGGAGGCAGCAGUGGGGAAUAUUGGGCAAUGGGCGAAAGCCUGACCCAGCCACGCCGCGUGCAGGAAGACGGCCCUCUGGGUUGUAAACUGCUUUUAACUGGGAAGAAAGAAGCCCAUGCGUGGGAAGUUGACGGUACCAGUUGAAUAAGCCACGGCUAACUACGUGCCAGCAGCCGCGGUAAUACGUAGGUGGCAAGCGUUAUCCGGAUUUAUUGGGUUUAAAGGGUGCGUAGGCGGUUUAAUAAGUCAGUGGUUAAAGGUAGCAGCUUAACUGUUUUACAUGCCACUGAUACUGUUGAACUUGAGUUGACAGAAGGCAGAUAGAAUUUCUGGUGUAGCGGUGAAAUGCUUAGAUACCAGAAGGAAUACCGAUUGCGAAGGCAGUCUGCUGCAGUCACACUGACGCUGUGGCACGAAAGCGCGGGGAUCAAACAGGAUUAGAUACCCUAGUAGUCGC